This 58-nucleotide transfer RNA is filed under the name Perkinsus olseni. RNAcentral's name for it is "tRNA-Val". It matches the Rfam family "tRNA", at positions 8 to 62 of the family's 71-position model. Rfam says of the family: Transfer RNA (tRNA) molecules are approximately 80 nucleotides in length. Their secondary structure includes four short double-helical elements and three loops (D, anti-codon, and T loops). Lineage: Eukaryota; Perkinsozoa; Perkinsida; Perkinsidae. The record is from RNAcentral.
UGGUCUAGUUGGUUAUGACGACUGCCUAACACGCAGUAGGUCCCGAGUUCGAUUCUCG